CACUCAUCAUCACCCUUGUUAGCUUUUCCCUUCUUCUUCGCGCCACUCAUCACCCCAAAUCAGAGAAAGGGUCCGCCAUCACCACACCACUCACGGCGUCACCACUCACCUCCAGGAAGACUCUACACUAACUCAUCUUCACCACUCACCACGCCGUCACUCAUCUUCACCGCACCGUCGCUUCUCUUCGUUGUGCGCUCACAUCAGGAAGACGUUGCGCUCAACUGAAAGCCUCUCUUCAUUUGCUCACCAUCGUCGAGAAGGAGAACUCAUUCUUCUAGGUUCGUUCACCACAAGCCCCAGGUUCGUUCGUCUAUUGUCUUUUCUUGCGAUUUUGUGUAUCAAGCAGCGGAGGAGAUAACUCAAAUCAAAACAUCAAGCAGCAACGAGACUGUUGAUCGUGGGAAGAUCAGGUCGGAAUUUAGAUUAGAU
This is a non-coding RNA of Arachis ipaensis, 432 nucleotides long. Lineage: Eukaryota; Viridiplantae; Streptophyta; Magnoliopsida; Fabales; Fabaceae. The record is from RefSeq and is a predicted model, not a curated record.